GUCUACGGCCAUACCACCCUGAACGCGCCCGGUCUUGUCUGAUCUCGGAAGCUAAAAGUUCAUAUAGCAAAUUGUAAAUU
RNAcentral lists this ribosomal RNA (80 nucleotides) under Myotis lucifugus (little brown bat). Lineage: Eukaryota; Metazoa; Chordata; Mammalia; Chiroptera; Vespertilionidae. The record is from RNAcentral.